GUGAAACCGGUGAAAUGGAAGCGAAUGGAGCCGACGUAUCUAGUGCGUAUUCAGCCUUCUGGGCGUGCGAUUGGGGUUUGUGCAUUUCCGCAAGGUGUGCCUGGCCUUAUUGUCGUGCGUUCGGUUGGUGCAUUUGCGUACGGAGUGCGCCGGGUUGUGUGGUGUUGUCGGACGAUGCGCGUUUAGAGGACCCGGGCUUCGGCGCUGGGAACCCUGGGCGUGCGGAGUUCGGUUGGCGCUGCGCAGCUUUGUGGAGACGUGGGUUUUUCGCGUGCCGCGGUGUCGACAGGCUCGGUUCGGGUGGUACACAUGUGUGCAGCCCUUAUGGGGUCGGUCGGUGUUGUGGUGUGCUCUACGUUCUUCCCGGUGUUCAGUCGGUGACCCAUUCGACCCGUCUUGAAACACGGACCAAGGAGUUUAUGGUAUGCGCAAGUCAUUGGGUUUGUCGAAGCCUAAAGGCGUAAUGAAAGUGAGACAUUACUUGUCUGAACGUGACUGGGUGCGGCAUUCGUGCGGCCCAAGCAACGUUGCCCCGUUUCGAGGACUUGUCCUGAUGCGGAGGUUGAGCGUAUGCUAUGAGACCCGAAAGAUGGUGAACUAUGCCUG
Molecule: ribosomal RNA, 606 nt
Filed under: Bursaphelenchus mucronatus
Lineage: Eukaryota; Metazoa; Nematoda; Chromadorea; Rhabditida; Aphelenchoididae
Description: eukaryotic LSU rRNA
Rfam family: Eukaryotic large subunit ribosomal RNA
Source: RNAcentral